Cyprinus carpio (common carp) is the source of this 1122-nucleotide long non-coding RNA. RefSeq lists it as uncharacterized. The transcript is spliced from 3 exons. NCBI's taxonomy places the organism in Eukaryota, Metazoa, Chordata, Actinopteri, Cypriniformes, Cyprinidae. The record is from RefSeq and is a predicted model, not a curated record.
AGGACAGUUAGAGCAAUCCAUUAGCAGAUCGCUAAUAGAGCAGCUGUAGGAUUCUGGAGAACUCACAGAGGAAGGAGUUCUAAUAUACCUAGAGAGAGAGUAAUCAUUGCUAGCAUUCCUAUUCGUCUUAAUGGCAGUUGCACUACUGGUGCGUGCAGCCCAGAAGUGUGCAACCUGGAUGUUGCCAUCUUUGCUUUAUAGAUUCACACUUUUGAUGCUCUGCUACUUUUGGCCAUUCAUGAAGCAUUUACCAGCAGGAGCCAAACUCUGAUCCACUGGAUGAGCCAUGAUUUAGGAUGAUUUAAGACAAACAACAUUAAGAACUGACCGCUUCAAGGAGGCCUGGAGCAAAUUGAACCGCUGAUUGAAUCCAAAGCCAAAGGACAUUAAAAGAAUCAAGACCCACUUGAGUUUGAUGGAGGGCAAAAGAGACAGAUGCAGCUGUACGUCCACGAGCUAAAGCACAUCAUCCUCAACAACAGGCAUCAGACUCUUCAGGCUAUGAGAGCGAGCUGUUGCUGGAAUUGCAUCAGCCAAUCGCAGAUGCUACAUCACUUCCAGGUGUUUUUACCUCUUAUUGACCACGGUCUGCUGGGAUGUCCUCUCUGUGUGGGCCUGCUUUCAUAAACACCAUUACACAUAACUUCUUUAUGCGUUUCCCUCGGCCUACCUUCAAUUACGGUUGCAGCCACUCUCGCCUUCAUGUUAAUUUGUGCGUUGAGACCUUUGAGCUUUGUGAUGAGCUGGUGUUAAUCACACAGCUCACACCACAACUGUGUCCACAGCCCCUCGGAGAUUGCCUCUGAUCAGAGCAAAAUGACUUGACAAGUCUGUGAUUCCAACAAUUCAAGACACCAGUUUGCCCGAGGACAAGGGCGCAGCCCAAACAUCCCAUAAUUACCUUGGGGGAGAUGAAAAUGCAGAGAGAACAGGAAAUCUUGAGGCAGAAAUACACAGAACACUCAAUCCUACAUCUUACCGGUUGCUGCUGGGGCAUUACGGCAGGAGUGUAAUGGAGGACUUGUUUGCAAAUGCAAAUUAAAAUUAAAUAGAAGGGAAAGGAAAGGAGGCCAACUUUGAUUUGGUGUUUGUUUUCCCACUCAACUGACCCAAACCUCUUCC